AUUGCCUCCAACACUUGGUUUCCCACGUGACUCAUAUUGACUAGCAUGAUACUUGAUCAAUUUUCUCUCUCAAACCCUAAACACCACGACACCCGAUGAACACCCGUCCUCCUCUUCUUCAUCCUCCACCUCCAAUUGCUCUCUGCUUCAGCCUCCACCUCGACUCUCCUCCUUCUCCGCCUCCGCUAUCAUCCUCCUUUUCUUCCUUUGGCACACCUGUUCUCUCAUCUCUCUUCUCAAAUUCACCAGAUUCGCCAAAGAUGCAGUCCACGCCGGAGCUCCGCCUUGCCCCUCCUCCUUCUCUUUUCUCCUCCCACCUUGACGAUGCUUCUGGCUUCUGCUGAUAUACUCUGGUUAAUGUUCAAGGUUGAAUAGAGGGGAUGUUGAUUCAAACACUCAGCAGCGGUCAACUGAAGCAGCAGGGCAUUCUAAUUCAAUUGUUGCAGACCACAUAUUUCUCGGCAUCAAAGAUACUGGUAUGUGAAAUAGGGAUUUAAUAAUUUUGUUACAUGGAAGAAACAAGAUUCAUUCUAAUGAACCAAGAUCCGAUGCUAGAAAUUUGAUACCUCAAAAUGCUGGAUCAUUAGCUAGUAACAUCAUUUAAAUGUCUUUCUUGUUUACAGAAUUGCAUAUAUUUAUAGAUGCAGUAGCUUAUUAUGCAAGCAGUAGCUUAUUAUGCAAGCUGUAUAUUUAUAGAUGCUGGUGAUAAAAAAAAAAUUCCAAAAUUGCUUCAUGUUUUCAGUUCACAUAUCAGGUUUUUAAUUUGCGAGGCAUGCUUUGAUGUACUUUAUCAGAUGUGUGAAUACAAACACAUUAUUAGUUUGUCUGUUUUCAUGCAUAGGUAUGAUGCAUACACAGUUGAAUCAGUUCUUGCUCAGGUACUCACUAUAUGAAUAAUGGCUUGGGGGCAACCAGAGAAAGCACAAUACUAUAAAAGCACGACCAUUUAUUUGAUUGGGCACAUGAUCUGUCUAAGUUGUAUUACUAAUCUUGGCAAGCUACUGAUGUAGGACAAAGCAAUGGUGUUGUGAGAAUGGUUUGACAUGAACAACAUUGUUUCUUUCUCUCUAAAGCCACCAGCUCACCACCACAAACUACUCCAAUUCUCCUACACUACUAGUCGCUGCCACAUGCAUAAAUAGAUCACCAAAGCAGGGCCUCCUUCAGUUUGGUUUAUCCUUGUUAUUCUUUUUGAAAACAUUUGUUGAUCACUUUUUGUUGUAAUGACUUUGAAAUUUAUAAUUUUCAGGCUCUAAUCUAUGCUUUGAAGGCCAUAGAAACUAGAAAAGAAUUAUACGAUAAGUAUUUUGCUGCUAAAGAUAGUCAGAAGACUGAUAUGUGGACAAAAGUGUGGUCAUCGGAUACUGCAGACUUCGGGUCAUUUUGUUUAAGUCCAUGGAGCAUCCUUAGAUGUUAUCUUGAAAGCCUGCUUCAUGUCUUUUUCUUUUGGGUUCCUUUUCUUAACCCUUGUAAUUUCAAAAUUCAAGAGUUGCUAUUGUUUUUAUACACUUAUGCUCAACAUCAGAUAAUGCUCAUGUAAUUCUUCAGGGAAUAUAUAUAUAAGAAGAGUAAGAAGAAGAUGGAUAAAAAGGAAAGAGAGAAGCCAAAGAAGGCAUCGGAUUAUUUAAGUCUCUUAAAAGACUCAUUUACUUGUGGCAUCUGCAAUUGGCUUAUUAGAGGAAGGAUUUUAUUGGACAGAUUAGAUCUUGAUGAUCCAAUAGAGAAAAAGGACAAAGCAUCAUUAUCGGAGCAGCUGAAGUCUAUGCCUAAGAUUUCUGUUGAUUGUGUGGUUUCUAAUCACGAUUGCAUAUGCCACAGGGUGGGCUGUUGGCAAUGCAUGCCAUUGGACGUCCUAAAGUCCCGUUCUGUUCAAGAGUUGGUGGAUUUGAAGUAUCAAUUCUUUUGCAGGCGUCUUGCUUGCCUUUUCCUUUCCUUUGUAAAUAUAUUGAACCUUUUCUUCACGUUUUCAGGAAAUCAUGCUAAAGUUUCUGAAACGGCUGAUAUUUUUGGGAGAAGCCUUCAUUUCUUAUUCAACAGAGCUUAUACCUCUAACGGUGACUGGACUAUUUAUAAUUCAUUAUUGACACGGCAGGUCCAAGGGACUGCCUUGGCAGUUGAGCAAGCAGAGCUUCUAUACUACGCAACCUUUAUGAGAAUCAUACCAGUUAUGUUAUUGAUAGAGAAGGAAACUUGACUAUGCUAAUGCCUUGGUGCUUUCCUGUGAAGUGCCGCCGCUAUUUCAGAAGUGGGCGGCAAAGAGUCGGAACUCAUAUACCCAAGAGCAACUUGAUGAGGUGGGCAUUGAAGCGGCUGACUACUUGCAGAUUUUGCUAUAGCUAGAUCUUGACAAGCAAUAUGAUUUUGAGUAAGGCUAUUUUGCUGACCAUUUUGUAGUAGAUGUAGUGGUAUCUUCUACACUAGCCUUAAAGUAGGUUAGGGUUUAUUGUGCAAAACUUUUGAAACUACCUCAAGCUCUAAUUUUGUAUAGAAAUUAAUACAAUUCCCUAAUAUUUAAAGUACAUUUGAAUUUCAUGUUA
Rosa chinensis is the source of this 2537-nucleotide long non-coding RNA. RefSeq lists it as uncharacterized. The record is from RefSeq and is a predicted model, not a curated record. Lineage: Eukaryota; Viridiplantae; Streptophyta; Magnoliopsida; Rosales; Rosaceae. The transcript has 5 exons.